GACGAACGCUGGCGGCGUGCUUAACACAUGCAAGUCGAACGGAAAGGCCCUGCUUUUGUGGGGUGCUCGAGUGGCGAACGGGUGAGUAACACGUGAGUAACCUGCCCUUGACUUUGGGAUAACUUCAGGAAACUGGGGCUAAUACCGGAUAGGAGCUCCUGCUGCAUGGUGGGGGUUGGAAAGUUUCGGCGGUUGGGGAUGGACUCGCGGCUGAUCAGCUUGUUGGUGGGGUAGUGGCUUACCAAGGCUUUGACGGGUAGCCGGCCUGAGAGGGUGACCGGCCACAUUGGGACUGCGAUACGGCCCAGACUCCUACGGGAGGCAGCAGUGGGGAAUAUUGCCCAGUGGGCGGACGCCUGAUGAAGCAACGCCGCGUGCGGGAUGACGGCCUUCGGGUUGUAAACCGCUUUCGCCUGUGACGAAGCGUGAGUGACGGUAAUGGGUAAAGAAGCACCGGCUAACUACGUG
This 468-nucleotide ribosomal RNA is filed under the name uncultured bacterium. RNAcentral's name for it is "partial 16S ribosomal RNA". It matches the Rfam family "Bacterial small subunit ribosomal RNA", at positions 28 to 507 of the family's 1533-position model. The record is from RNAcentral.